RNAcentral lists this ribosomal RNA (1416 nucleotides) under Vibrio alginolyticus. RNAcentral's name for it is "bacterial SSU rRNA". It matches the Rfam family "Bacterial small subunit ribosomal RNA". Lineage: Bacteria; Pseudomonadati; Pseudomonadota; Gammaproteobacteria; Vibrionales; Vibrionaceae. The record is from RNAcentral.
UGCAGUCGAGCGGAAACGAGUUAUCUGAACCUUCGGGGAACGAUAACGGCGUCGAGCGGCGGACGGGUGAGUAAUGCCUAGGAAAUUGCCCUGAUGUGGGGGAUAACCAUUGGAAACGAUGGCUAAUACCGCAUGAUGCCUACGGGCCAAAGAGGGGGACCUUCGGGCCUCUCGCGUCAGGAUAUGCCUAGGUGGGAUUAGCUAGUUGGUGAGGUAAGGGCUCACCAAGGCGACGAUCCCUAGCUGGUCUGAGAGGAUGAUCAGCCACACUGGAACUGAGACACGGUCCAGACUCCUACGGGAGGCAGCAGUGGGGAAUAUUGCACAAUGGGCGCAAGCCUGAUGCAGCCAUGCCGCGUGUGUGAAGAAGGCCUUCGGGUUGUAAAGCACUUUCAGUCGUGAGGAAGGUAGUGUAGUUAAUAGCUGCAUUAUUUGACGUUAGCGACAGAAGAAGCACCGGCUAACUCCGUGCCAGCAGCCGCGGUAAUACGGAGGGUGCGAGCGUUAAUCGGAAUUACUGGGCGUAAAGCGCAUGCAGGUGGUUUGUUAAGUCAGAUGUGAAAGCCCGGGGCUCAACCUCGGAAUUGCAUUUGAAACUGGCAGACUAGAGUACUGUAGAGGGGGGUAGAAUUUCAGGUGUAGCGGUGAAAUGCGUAGAGAUCUGAAGGAAUACCGGUGGCGAAGGCGGCCCCCUGGACAGAUACUGACACUCAGAUGCGAAAGCGUGGGGAGCAAACAGGAUUAGAUACCCUGGUAGUCCACGCCGUAAACGAUGUCUACUUGGAGGUUGUGGCCUUGAGCCGUGGCUUUCGGAGCUAACGCGUUAAGUAGACCGCCUGGGGAGUACGGUCGCAAGAUUAAAACUCAAAUGAAUUGACGGGGGCCCGCACAAGCGGUGGAGCAUGUGGUUUAAUUCGAUGCAACGCGAAGAACCUUACCUACUCUUGACAUCCAGAGAACUUUCCAGAGAUGGAUUGGUGCCUUCGGGAACUCUGAGACAGGUGCUGCAUGGCUGUCGUCAGCUCGUGUUGUGAAAUGUUGGGUUAAGUCCCGCAACGAGCGCAACCCUUAUCCUUGUUUGCCAGCGAGUAAUGUCGGGAACUCCAGGGAGACUGCCGGUGAUAAACCGGAGGAAGGUGGGGACGACGUCAAGUCAUCAUGGCCCUUACGAGUAGGGCUACACACGUGCUACAAUGGCGCAUACAGAGGGCAGCCAACUUGCGAAAGUGAGCGAAUCCCAAAAAGUGCGUCGUAGUCCGGAUUGGAGUCUGCAACUCGACUCCAUGAAGUCGGAAUCGCUAGUAAUCGUGGAUCAGAAUGCCACGGUGAAUACGUUCCCGGGCCUUGUACACACCGCCCGUCACACCAUGGGAGUGGGCUGCAAAAGAAGUAGGUAGUUUAACCUUCGGGGGGACG